This 53-nucleotide transfer RNA is filed under the name Hirudo nipponia. Its description in RNAcentral is "tRNA-Glu". Lineage: Eukaryota; Metazoa; Annelida; Clitellata; Hirudinida; Hirudinidae. The record is from RNAcentral.
UUAUAUAUGGUGUAUAGCACGUUAGAUUUUCAUUUUAAAGGAGUAUUUAUACU